Molecule: ribosomal RNA, 684 nt
Filed under: uncultured bacterium
Lineage: Bacteria
Description: bacterial SSU rRNA
Rfam family: Bacterial small subunit ribosomal RNA
Source: RNAcentral
GCAGUCGAGGGGCAGCAUAUAGAUUGCUUGCAAUUUAUGAUGGCGACCGGCGCACGGGUGAGUAACGCGUAUCCAACCUACCCAUUACUAGGGAAUAACCCAGCGAAAGUUGGCCUAAUGCCCUAUGUAGUCGUUUGAUCGCCUGAGAUUUCGACGAAAGAUUUAUCGGUAUUGGAUGGGGAUGCGUCUGAUUAGCUUGUUGGCGGGGUAAAGGCCCACCAAGGCAACGAUCAGUAGGGGUUCUGAGAGGAAGGUCCCCCACAUUGGAACUGAGACACGGUCCAAACUCCCACGGGAGGCAGCAGUGAGGAAUAUUGGUCAAUGGGCGAGAGCCUGAACCAGCCAAGUAGCGUGCAGGAUGACGGCCCUAUGGGUUGUAAACUGCUUUUAUAUGGGAAUAAAGUGAGGGACGUGUCCCUUAUUGCAUGUACCAUACGAAUAAGGACCGGCUAAUUCCGUGCCAGCAGCCGCGGUAAUACGGAAGGUCCAGGCGUUAUCCGGAUUUAUUGGGUUUAAAGGGAGCGUAGGCUGUUUGUUAAGCGUGUUGUGAAAUGUAGGAGCUCAACUAUUAGAUUGCAGCGCGAACUGGCAGACUUGAGUGCGCACAACGUAGGCGGAAUUCAUUGUGUAGCGGUGAAAUGCUUAGAUAUCAUGACGAACUCCGAUUGCGAAGGCAGCUUACGG